CGAAAUUCGACCGCGGGUCGUCUGCGCCAAUAAUGGCAUCCAUGUCAUCGUUCAGCUCGCUCGCUUCUGCUUGGUCUUUGUCAGAGUUGUUUUCCGAGUGCUCUGCACCGCUGUCGUCUUCGUCCGCUUGUUCACUCGGGUCCUCUUCCCCGAAAAGGUCGGCAAGCUUUUUUUUGGCAGAGACAAGAGCUUGUUCAAGCUCGUCUGAAUUCGCAGCCGGAUCCAGGGGGUGCGCCUCCACGUGCUUCUUCUUCAAGAGCGGGUUCUUCUCGUUGUCCGGCAGACUCAAAAAAUUGACGAGGUGGUGCUGGAGGUCGGCGUGUGCGGCGUCCAACGUCGAGAGCGGAACCAAGGUCUUGUCCGCGAAAAGGUAUCGGUCGAUGGUGUGCUGCGCGAGUUUGAGAGAGAGCAAAACAUCCGGAAAUGUUCGAAUGAAGUACCUGCCUUCGUAGAAAGAGAUGGGCCACGGACUGUCUAAAAAGUUGGGGUAGACGCCGUCACUGUCGUCUUCGUCGACGAACCCGAGGCAGCUGCUGGACCUUUUCAAUUGCAUGUUUUUCGGGGCAUCUUUGGACAUGAUGUUGCGCAGCAUGUUUUGCGCAUGAUGCGUGAAAAGUUUUCGUUUUUCCGUCCAUCGACUUUUCCGCCGCCCACUCCGAAGUUCAGUGGAUUCGGUGUUGUUGGUGAGUUGCGAAUCUUCCUCCGUAUCGUCAUCGGCGGGCACAAGAAGAGCGUUUGAGGAGCUAGGAAGGAGCGUCCGAAAAAUCCCGACGAAAAUUGUGAGAACCCAGACAAACAGUAGUAUGGAGUGCAGGAGCGGAAGAAUGACCCGCAUAUUAUCUGCGUGAAGGAGCACAGGCGUCUCUUCGGAGCAAGCAAGCGUGACGCUGAAGCCUGAAAGAAUUCCCAGUGUGGUCCACGUGAACGCAAAAAGAACAUUCGAGGAUCUCUGCCGAUAAGGCAUCCGCGUCAGACACAGAAGGACAAAGACGCAGAUUAUGACAAAAGCGAUGACACUCUGAGUCCGUGACCCAAACGGAUUAGUCGCCAUUUCUGCUAGGGGGUCUGCCCUCCAAGAUGGCGUGCCAGUCGUGAUGACAGCCGCAGAGGAAUCCACCUCACCCGAAGCGUCUGAAAACGUUGACGCAUUCGUGAGACUGGAGGGGAAGACCUGCUGAAAAAGCCAAGCAGCUCCCGCAGAAGGCUUAUACGUCUGGUUCCCAAAGAGGGCAACCAGAAGACAAAGCAAAAGUUUGACAAUCAUAAGUGCUUGACGGUGGUAAACUCGCCCCCAUUCGCGCCUAAAAGAUGUGAAUGUCCAUAGCAUCUGUACACGCCAGCUAUCGUUCAGAUUCAACAUGUAUUCCAAUUCUUUUUGUUGGACAUAGUCUUCGUGGUUUUCGUCUGUCUGCGCCACCAGAUGCGCAUUCACCUGACUGCCUACGUAGUAUACAGCCGUGGCAGCAAACAAAAAUGCGAACACGCCGAUCGCAAUACGCCCCAUGAAGAGUCCCUGGUCACCGCAUAUCUCUGCUUGGUCUUGGCAAAAAACGAUAGGGAGUACCGAGUUUAGGUACGGAGCAAAAAUCCACGUUACCAGGAUGAUCCGUCCCUGUACGAGCCAAAGGCACAGUUCGUGCCAGAGAUCAGCAAAGAAAACGCACAGCUUCAGCCAGUUGGAAUCCUGGUUUUUCGUCUGUUCAUCACUCUGCAAGGCAAACACAACACUGAGGGACAUGCGGCCUGAUGACUGACGUUGUUUUCGCUGAAGCUCUUCUGCGAGUUCUCGAGCUUCUUGCCUCUUUUCUUUAGGCGAUUUGGAAAACUUUAUCCAUCGAGACCCCCCCCAAAGCAGCGUCGCAACAGCCGCAACGACGAGCGUCAGGAUGCAAGCAAGAACUAGACGGGACGUUGCAGUGGAACCCGCAUCGCUGGAAACGAGAAUAUUUGAUGUGUCUAAGCGAUUUAAGAGCAAGUGGAAGAAGUCCAAGUUGAACGCUAGUAGUGGGAAGGUCUUUUGGUUCCAAGACGGCGGAAACUGGGGCAGAACAAUCAGCCAGAGCAAACACCAGACCUGGACUGCAUCUAAGGCCAGAAGCCAUUUUUCAACCCAGUAGAGAGAGACAGACCGUUGAGGAGGAAGGCUGUCCAGGCGAAUGUUAGUGGCCAUCGAGGCCGCUGAAAAAUCCCCUUCCAUGCCGGCGAAGCAGGUGUGCUGCACUUCUUCUCUUCAGCCCACGAUUCAGACUAGGGACUCCGCGAGAAUAGGACGAUCUGACGCAGUGCCUGCAUACUGCGUACGUGUACCACUGUGUACCACAGAGGCUGCAGAGCAUGGCCGGUAUAACCAAAAUCGACACAUUGGUGUCAAACUGAGAGACUAAACUUCAUUUGGAAAGUGUUUCGGCGAAGGAGCCAGCCGAAGGAGCAAGACCAAAGCACACUUAACGCGAUGGCCAUUUUUGGCGAAAACAGUUCACUUCACAUUCGAGAAACGCUCUCAGCAUUUUCACCUCCAACAUCCAUCAUGAUUUCACCGCAUAUUUCAUUCCGAUUCACCAGCUACGCAUGUGGAAAGCCCGGAAAGCGACUUUCUCCACGAGUCAAACGAGAGUUAAUACGUCGGUCGGCCAGGUGAUCGUAGCGGGCGGCAUGUGAGAUUAUCUGGUAUUGGCUGUGAUGCUGAUCUAAUGAGUUUUUUCGCUUCUUGUGACGGUGGUAGAAAGCUGGUCGAACGAUGCUAGCCUGAACUGCAUCAUUAAGGACAUGGACCGUAGCCGCUAUCUCCCCAGAAAAUGUUCGAAGACAAUGUUCGUCUUGAGCACGAAGAAUCACCCAAUUUUUCAACGGCAACGUCUGGAGCCAGUGACAUGACGGAAACUUCCCAUUGGGGGCUGUGUGGGGCCGUCGUCGUUCCACUGUUUCAAGUGCGUACACCUGAAGCUGUCCAAUGUUAACGUUGUUCACACAACUGCGAAUACAAAAUGUGUCCGUCCCAAUAAAGUAGCAAUGGCAGUGUCGUUAGGUGCGCAUUAGCCCAUGGCAGCCUUCUCCGUGUGCAACAGAGUCCCGGGGCAUGGUGGCGGCCAGGGGAUGUCAAAAAGCCACGUCUUUUAAUUACAUCGAAUAGGCGUUGCUCUGAGUUUGUCUGAGUUUGCCAGGAAAGUGAAUAUGAAACAGGAGGCUUCGCAACAGCACAUGACGUAGAAGUCUACGGUGAUCUUUUCCUUCAUCACCUCUGUCGAGACGGCAACGUGUGGACUCACCCAAAGGUCCAUGUUUUCAAGGCAGAUCGUGUAGUGCCAAAAGGCUCUAGAGAAACACAUUGAGGAUAAGAUGUGUGUUAAGUUUCUAAAUGGUACAGCUGGUUCCAAUUUCGUUUGCCCCAACAGCGCGUGCGUUUACUACUUCACCAAUUGCGUACUUGACUUCGUGUACUUUUUUUCCAGCCUUAUCAGUAGGUGACUUGAACCGAUUUGG
RNAcentral lists this long non-coding RNA (3480 nucleotides) under Toxoplasma gondii VEG. The record is from RNAcentral. Lineage: Eukaryota; Apicomplexa; Conoidasida; Eucoccidiorida; Sarcocystidae.